This 244-nucleotide ribosomal RNA is filed under the name Oedogonium sp. JCU1. RNAcentral's name for it is "partial 18S ribosomal RNA". The record is from RNAcentral. Lineage: Eukaryota; Viridiplantae; Chlorophyta; Chlorophyceae; Oedogoniales; Oedogoniaceae.
UCAGAUCACCCAACUCGUGAACCUUAGCGAGCGCUCGUCGCUCGCCGACCAGGGCAGAGANUUGCUUUGAAGUGGAAAGGGGGUCGGGUCUAGGCCUACACCACCCGGAAGCUUGCGAGCGCUCUGCCUUGCAACCCGACUUUCCGUCAGGGAGGUUGGCUUGCGCCCUUUUCCAACCAAACACCCAACCUUGUUGUUCUGAAGUGACAUGCAACUGGCUUCGCCGGUUGUGUAACCAUCAAAC